GAGCGAAGACGCCGAAUUGAGAUGGCGACUAUCUUUGUUUUGAAGGUUGGCGAGAAAAAAUUUUGCAGUUCUCCGUGCCUCUCAAAAACCCCUCUUUUGAAGACGGCCUCGAACAAGCUGCUAUAUU
Elaeis guineensis (African oil palm) is the source of this 127-nucleotide small nucleolar RNA. The record is from RefSeq and is a predicted model, not a curated record. NCBI's taxonomy places the organism in Eukaryota, Viridiplantae, Streptophyta, Magnoliopsida, Arecales, Arecaceae.